This 253-nucleotide ribosomal RNA is filed under the name uncultured bacterium. Its description in RNAcentral is "partial 16S ribosomal RNA". It matches the Rfam family "Bacterial small subunit ribosomal RNA", at positions 524 to 776 of the family's 1533-position model. The record is from RNAcentral.
UACGGGGGGGGCAAGCGUUGUUCGGAAUUACUGGGCGUAAAGGGCUCGUAGGCGGCCAACUAAGUCAUACGUGAAAUCCCUCGGCUUAACCGGGGAACUGCGUCUGAUACUGGAUGGCUUGAGAUUGGGAGAGGGAUGCGGAAUUCCAGGUGUAGCGGUGAAAUGCGUAGAUAUCUGGAGGAACGCCGGUGGCGAAGGCGGGACUCUGGGCCGAUACUGACGCUGAGGAGCGAAAGCGUGGGGAGCGAACAGG